CUAUGACGUUAGCGGCGGACGGGUGAGUAACACGUGGGCAACCUGCCUGUAAGACUGGGAUAACUUCGGGAAACCGAAGCUAAUACCGGAUAGGAUCUUCUCCUUCAUGGGAGAUGAUUGAAAGAUGGCUUCGGCUAUCACUUACAGAUGGACCCGCGGCGCAUUAGCUAGUUGGUGAGGUAACGGCUCACCAAGGCAACGAUGCAUAGCCGACCUGAGAGGGUGAUCGGCCACACUGGGACUGAGACACGGCCCAGACUCCUACGGGAGGCAGCAGUAGGGAAUCUUCCGCAAUGGACGAAAGUCUGACGGAGCAACGCCGCGUGAGUGAUGAAGGCUUUCGGGUCGUAAAACUCUGUUGUUAGGGAAGAACAAGUGCUAGAGUAACUGCUUGGACCUUGGCGGGACCUAACCCGAAAGCCACGGGUAACUACGUGGCAGCAGCCGCGGUAAUACCUAAGUGGCAAGCGUUAUUCGGAAUUAUUGGGCGUAAAGCGCGCGCAAGCGGUUUCCUAAGUCUGAUGUGAAAGCCCACGGCUCAAACGUGGAAGGGCAUUGGAAACUGGGGAAAUUGAGUGCAGAAGAAGAAAGCGGAAUUUCCAGUGUAACGGUGAAAUGGCUAGAGAUGUGGAAGAACACCAGUUGCCAAAGCGGGUUUUUGGUCUGUUACUGACGCUGAAGCGCGAAAGCGCGGGAGAGCAAACCCGAUUACAUAACCUGGUAGUCCACACCCUUAAACGAUUAAUGCCC
This 750-nucleotide ribosomal RNA is filed under the name Bacillus sp. RS-CGM-43. RNAcentral's name for it is "bacterial SSU rRNA". It matches the Rfam family "Bacterial small subunit ribosomal RNA", at positions 84 to 818 of the family's 1533-position model. Lineage: Bacteria; Bacillati; Bacillota; Bacilli; Caryophanales; Bacillaceae. The record is from RNAcentral.